CAUACUUAGAGCAAUUAGAGUUAACCAAUAUUCAUUUGAAAGAGUUUAAAGUGGAUUUAGAUGUUUGAAAAAUUAAAAUGAAAUGGUUAGACUAUUGGUACAAGACAGAGUAAUACUGCCAAGGUACAUUACAAUAGGGGAGAUGCUUCAAACAAAAUGUCAGGAAAGAAAGCUACUGCUAUAUCCGAAUCUGAAGAUGCUGUUAAAAAUGGAAAGUACUCAGCUCAGCAACCAUAAUUUUGUCCUGGGUAUGACUGUCACCACUAUAGCAAGCCAUGACAACAUCUAACAGAAAAUGCAGGAAGUGUGGACAGCCUAACUAUGUUUAUCAAAUAUGCUAAAAGAGAAAAGAGUGGAGAUCAAAAUGUUUUAUUAAGUGACUGUUGCAAAUACAACUCAAGAAUCUGCAGCUGUUACUUUGAAAACUGUUGCAAAUAAAACUCAAGAUUCUGUAGCUGUUACUUUGAACAAUCGUUUGACCGAGCAUGCAUAUAUGUCAGCCAAGGAAUUAUGAAUUUAUAAAUGCAGUUUAUAUGUGAGAUGAGACUGUGUGCACUACUUCUUCAAUGCGCACAGAAAAGCAUGUCUUAUCAGGGUAAAAACUGCUGGACCAGAAAGCUGACUAUAUAUAGAAAAUUUGUGUCACUAAGCCAGAAACCAAAGCAGAAUAUAAAAAUUAUAAAUGAGUCAGAGAACUGGGCUUGUAAAGCUUGUUAUCUGACUCAAAGGUUUCAUUCCUGACUUUUUUGAUCAUAUUCUGAAACUGCUGGUAAAGUAACAACUCUACUGCCAUUAAAGAAGAUUAACCUUAUAAAAAACUGAUGGAUCCUUGAAAUGUAGAUCACACUAUACUGUCUGAACAGCAGCCAUUAUGGAGCCAGUAUUGGAAUCAUCUGCAGACGUGAGAUGCCAUGAAGACUUUAAUCUUUCAUGAAUACAGUCUACUGCCUUCUGAUUUUCACUCAUUCUGGAUUUUUCACUCAUUCUGAUCACUUGUGGAACAAAAAGAUAGAGGACACCAAGGACUAUGUCAUCCAGGUGUCAAAUCCCAAAAAAGACCCUUCACUAAUCCUGAGAAUCGGGUCAUUGUUGAAGCUUUAGUUGACAUGGUGCCUUCCUGCUUGAGAAGAGACAUUGAGAUAUGUCAUGUAGAAUGCAAAUUUGGCAGCAGAUCAUUGGAAACAUUAAUGCAGUGGGUGGCCACAGUAGGACAUAUGACCUGGUGUGCCAUAGGGCCACUGACAUGAUCUCAUCUGCAUGGAGAAGAGCAGCUGCAGUGACCAUUGAUCAGAUGGGUACUGGGGGGAGGGCUGCUACAGAGGCACCACUAACAGCAUAUAAAGAGUUCCUGUCCACUGUCAGGGAUCCAAACAUCUUCCAGGAAAGUGCAGAACAGCAUGUCUUUGACAUUGGUACUAUUGUUUCAGUGACAGCAAACAUGUCCCAAGAGGAGCUUCUAGUUUGCAGGUUGGUCUGGCUGAUCCAGAAGUGGAAAAGGAGGUCGAAGGUCAUAUUCAGCUGCCAGUAUGCCGUCACAAUGUGUCUUUCUUGUAGAAGAAGAUUCAGAAGGACUUCAAGGGCUCAAGCCAGUUUAAAAAGAGUCUUUAGAAGAAAAAUAAAGUACGGUGGCAGGAAUAUUCGUGCUUGUGGAAAACUUUGUACGACUGCCUUUCAUUUCUGAUACAACUAAAUGAGGAAAAAUUACUCCUGUCAUAUUAAAAUACUUCACAACUGUCCACAAUUUUCAGAGAGGCCCCUAAUUUUGACUCCAACUUUUCCUAUGUUCCUCUUAAAAUUGGAGAUUUUUUGAAAAAAAAACAUGGUAGAUUAUAGUAAGUACAUAAUGGCAAUCAUUACAGUUGCAGAUGUCUUUGACUUCAGAAAAUGCAUUUUAGUUAAGUCUGUCAGCUUUCUGCUUCAAAAGUAUCAGUAUUCAGAGUGUCCCUGAUCUGUUCCUGAUUUGAGGCCUUUGUACAGAGGGAUUAAAUUGAUCAUUCACAGCAUGAAGUUAUAGGAAAGAGUAGUGGAAGCUAGGUUAAGA
This is a long non-coding RNA of Protopterus annectens (West African lungfish), 2041 nucleotides long. RefSeq lists it as uncharacterized. The transcript is spliced from 5 exons. The record is from RefSeq and is a predicted model, not a curated record. Lineage: Eukaryota; Metazoa; Chordata; Ceratodontiformes; Protopteridae.